GGGACAGCAAAUCCCGUCCAAAACGGGAUCGGGUCGGAUCUCUUUCCCGACACAGCCGGUGUCCUGCUUGGUUACUGCAAGGAAGGAGAAGAGGAAGGCGGCGCUGCGCAGUGGGUCCCGCGCGUCAUUGGAAGAAGAACAGGGACCCGGCUGUCAGCGAGUCAAGGGAGAGGGGCGCGCCCACUGCUCGGCUUGGGCCGCAACGAGCUGGGCCGGGGCGGGAAGGGAAGCCAGGGGGCUGGCUUGCCGCUAGCGGGCCGAGUGCGAGGGUGAGGGGGGGGGUUCGGCUGGGGUUUUUCUUUUUUUUCUUUUCUGUUUUCUUUUCCAAACACCUUUUCCAAAAAAAAUCUUGAAUGCAAAUAAAUUCAAGCCAGAGGCAAACAAUACAAAAUAACAUAUUCUUCAGCAUGAAUGCAUAAACAAGUUCCUAAACUUAUAAUGAAUUUUAAUUUUUACAAAAAUAUUUUAUUUACUAGAUUAAAUGCCCACAAAAAUUGCUUAAAUAAUUCUCAUGAAAUCCUAUCAAUUCAAAAGCAAAUUUUUUUUGGGUGUUACAAAUUCUACCCCCCUUAAAAGAAUCUCGUCCUCGAGAUUGAGCAGUGCAUAAACAAACAGUUGUGGAUAUGAUUCUCUCCAAUCAUCCUCUCUUUCCCAAGUUGCUUCUGCCUCUAAAAACCGAUUCCAUUGCACUAGCAAAUUCAUGUCUCUAGUCAAGUAACAUACCUGGUAACUUAUCUGAAAAUUUAUUCCCUACACAGUCCUGAAGGUCAACACCAUCAUCCAGCUGAUUCACUGUAGCUGUGGGUGGAGCCUGCAAUGCUACAUCCACACUGAUUCUCUCUCCCUUGGGUGUUGUCACAACUACUACUUUCUCUUUGCACUUAAUUUCCGUAGCAUAUUUCUUCAUCCAAUCCAAACCCAAUAUCACAUCUAUGCCUGAGGUUCUCAUAACCAUGGGACUAACCGGGAAAUCUACCCCCCUUAAAGAAAGACUUGCUGAGGGGCAACAAUAUGAAACUGGUAUAGUCCCUCCCGGUGAUUUUACUAGCAUAUGGGUUUUCAUGGCAACUAGUGGAAUGCUAUGAACUCUAACAAAUGCUUGUGAUAUGAAUGUAUGCGAAGCUCCAGAAUCAAAUAAAACUGUAGCGGGAAUAGAGUUGAUACUGAACGUACCCAUCAUAAUCUCCAGUCCCUCUUGUACUGUCUCUGCAGCCACAUGGUUCAUCUUUGCUCCAUGAGAAUUAGACUUUUGACCGUUGUUCUGCUGGUUGAAUCUCUCCGGGCAAUUAUAUGACAUAUGACCUUCUUUUCCACAGCGAAAACACCUAGUAGGGGUAUUGGGAGCACUUCUCUUCAUAGAGGUGGCAUUUGAAUUUCCUGAGCGGUGAAUCUGCUGACCACUCUGCUGUUGAUUAAGAUUACGCUGAGGUUGUUGGUUGCGAUCCCAUUGACCAACCGGUCCCUGGUACCUCUGUUGAUCGCCCUGCUGAGAAUUGAAACGUUGGCGGUUGUUGCCUCCGGAACCUUGUGCUAGCAUCCUCCUCUUCUUAUCUUGACCUUUACGCAUGUUAUCAAGCACAAUAGCACGAUUCACCAGAGUCUGGAAGGUAGGGUAGGUAUUUUCAGCCAGUUGCAAUCUGAGUUCAUAGUAAAGACCUUUCAUGAAGAGACGUUGUUUGUCAGCAUCCUCUCUGACUUCGUUUGGGGCAUAGCGGGCCAACUGCUCAAACAUGUCAUGAUACUCAGCCACAGUCAUAGAACCCAUCCGUAGAGAUCUGAAUUCUUCUUGCUUGAGCUCCAUCAUUCCCUCAUUGAUGUGUUGUGCUCUAAAGUCUCUGCAAAAUUCCGUCCAAGUGACAGGAGGAGCAUUGUUGGGACGAGCAGCUUGAUAUGACUCCCACCAAGUUUGAGCUGCUCCCUGAAGUUGUCCGGAAGCAUACACCACCUUUUCCAUAUCAUUGCAUUGUGCUAUGUUCAGUCGCCUCUCCACAGCACGUAACCAAUCAUCCGCCUCCAUAGGAUCAGCUGAGUGUGUAAACACCAGAGGUCUUCCCUUCAUAAAUUCACCACGCUUAUCUCUCACAUGAACUGGUGGUGGUGGUGGUGGUGGUGGUGGUGGUGGUGGAGGUUGCUGCUGUAGGUGCUACAUGAAGACAUGCAUCAUCUCAUUCUGAGUUUGCAUGAGCUCUUCUACAGUAAUUGGAUUGUUGGCACCCAUGCCACGGCCUCUGCCUCUGCCUCUUCCUCUUGCUGCCAUCUGCAUUCCGAGGUAUAUAAACACAUCUCAGUAAUAUCCAACAUGAUAAAUAGUAGAGAUAGUCGAAUCUGAAUUUUUCUGGGCGACAUCCAACAUUAGCAGUUCAGAAAAUCAGUCAUAUCUCGAGUUCUAGAAUUCAAAAGGAUACAUUCUGCAUACCGUUGGAAAGAUAAAUAAAUUAUCUACAACUUUUAUUUUGACCAUAUUAACAGAUUCUGUUAUUAGGUUAGUCAAAACUGGGCAUAACCAUAACUGUUCCAGAAUUCUAGACUGCGCAGAAACCUCAACUUUGAACAACCAUAACUCCCAGAUCAUAACAGAUAAUAAGGUCAUUCUUGUGGCAUUGGAAAGAUAUGAAGGUCUACUUGUUCCUAGAAAACUUUGAUGAACAUUGCACGAGCAGAUUUUGAUAUGUACCAGAUUUAUUGCAGACUGCUCCAGAAAAUAGCAAAGGGCAGAAACAGGAUUUUACCCAAACCCAACUAUUUAGUUCAUUAAUCCUUAUGCCUUAGGCCUAUAAACUAAAUGAAAUUGUAGAGAAACUCCACAAGAUCAUUACACUCAUUACAAAGAUUCAAAUCAAGCAUAAGCAUAAUAACAAACCAAACCAUGCAUCAAAGGUUCACACUUCAAGCAUUAACUCAACUUGCGGUACUAUCGUUCUCUUCCUAUUAAGGGUAAAGAUCCUAAAUCUCCUAUUUCAAAAGACACAAGAAGAUGAUAAGGGAAGGUUCUAAAAGCAUACCAACUCAAGGGGUGAAGGUGAGAACAAGGACUUUUAAAAUAAGCAACAAGGUAGAGACAAAUAGCAAGGAUAGAGAUAUUGUAUAGAGGAAAAUACCAAGGUUUAUAGAGCAAGGGUGUUAUAACAAUUUCAAAACCUUAAGAUGGCCAAUUUCUAACUAGGCUUGCGUCCUACAGUCAACAAAGCUUUGAUACCAAUUUGUCACACCCAUAUUUUAAGAACAAAAUAGGAUGCAUAAAAGACUCAUAUGUGCCCCAGAAACAGUCGCACACAUAAGUAGACAAAUCUCAAAUGUACCAUUGCAGUGUUUAUUACAUAGUGGAAUAUAACAUAUCACAUAGUCUCAUACAAAGAUGAUAGCAUAAAAUAAACAACGCUCUCGACGGAAGCUCCACACAGGGACACUGUUGACUGGUUGACACCAAACCUAAUACUCAUAGCGAUAGUCCUCAUUCCAAUCAUCAUCAUUAGCAUAACCUGGGGUGUUGGGAAAUUGCAAGAGUGAGCACAUAUCAUACUCAACAAGUAUAACCAGGGGUUCAUGAGGCUCAAAUAGCUGACACUGGUUUGACUGCAUUUAGCUUUUAAUAGUAGAUAGCAUGUUCAUAAUUGAAUAGCAAAUGUCAAGAUAGCAUAAAUAAUCCAUUAAUCACAUGAUCAAGUGUAAGCAUAAUUAAUUCUUAGCAUAAACGAUAAUCAAAUGAACACAACAACUUAAUAAGCUCAUUGUCGUUGCAGCAAGAACCCCCAAGGCCGCUCAUAACCGUGAGCACGGCUAGUAUACCAGUUUUAACACUCUGCAGAGAUUGUACAUCUUUACCCAUGAGUCAUGAUUUACCCUUUCGCCCGAGGUAGCUAAUCUCUUAACCCCCUUCCUGGGGAGGUCAGCAGGGAUCACUAUGAAGCCUUUCAAAAGUUCGUCUAACAUGUUAGGGCCGUAAGGUUUCCUUUGUGCGCUGAUAUAGAUACCCUCCUUCCGAAUGGCACAAUGACGCGCAACCUAUACACAUAAGGACAGGGGCUCGCACUAUACCCAAAACGGUUCAGCCCCUCCGCCCUUUCGGGUAACCUCUAACAAGCUAGAAAAGGUCUUCAUACUGAGCUAAAGCCAGAGCCAUUAUAGCCCUCAUGGUUGCACUGUUGUCCAGGUGAUCACUUACAGACAAGAUCUCAUAUAGUUAUUUGUCAUCUUUUAACGUUCAUUGCAUAGCUAUUAAUCAUCUUACAAGAUCAUGGAUUGAAUCAAGCACUAGCACAUCUACACCAAAUGCAUAUCAAGUAGGUAACAAGGAAUCCAGGUAACAAUCAUCUAUGAUUUUGCUAAGGUCGACAAGGUGAUAGCAUGCAUAUGAUAUAUAUGUAGUUAUAAGUGAAUAGGUAACAAGGAUGAUCCCAAGUUAUACUUGUCUUGCUCAAAGCUCUCCUGAGCCUGCUGGUCUUCAAAAGUUUGGUCUUGAUCACCAACGUACGGCUCACCGUCUAUUCCCAAACAUCAAUCAACAACACGUAAUCCAAUGGAGACAAUCAUACACAAAGCAAAAAAGAUAUAAUUAGAACAUUACACCAACAGUGAGAAAUCAAAGAUAAAAGUUUAUGAAAGUAUUCUACGCAGCGCUACGAUCACACAAACGUAAAGUUCACGAAAAUCGGAAUUAAAACGUGGAAGAUAUGAAUUUUCUAAGGUUUCCUAUAGAGAAAUAAUUAAUUAAAUGCUACUGCAGAAAUAAAAAGUUUCAAAACAGUAAACUAAUAUUUCUAACCUGUAGAGCACGUAAAUAUGGAUCUAACGAAAUUUGAAUGGACAAAAACAGAGUUAAAAUGAGCAUUUUAUAAGCAAAACAAAAUCAGUGGCAUUUCUGUAAAUACUGGAAAACGUAUUUGGAUCUCAGCCGACAGGAAAAUACGUUUUCUUAAUUUAGAAAGCGUAAAACUGAGUAGGCGCCUUGGACUGUGGGUUAAAACUCAAAUUCUCCAGGGGUUCUUAAACAAAAUACCCCCCUGAAGGGGUAUCUUCUAAUCCUGGUCAUCCACGAUCGAUCCGACGGCCGAGAUCAAGCAGGGGGAAAACCAAACUGCGGCCCGGCCGUCUUCCUGUGCUCCGGCGCGGCGGCGCCAUUGGCCAGAGGGCCUGAGCUCGCCGGAGCUUGCUGUCCGGCCGAUUCAGAGCACCAUUCUUUGAAAGAAAAGCACCGGAAAAACGAGAGGCUUACCACGGACUCGUCUAGGAGAUUGUUUUGGCCCGAGGGAAAACAGGGAGCGCAUGUCACGAUGGGGGAAAAAGCUCGGCUCCGGGGAGAUUCCGAAACACGCAGUCGAAGGCGGCUAGGGCUCGGUUUCGCGACUUAGAUGCAAAAACACGACGCGGGGCAUCGCAGGGUGCUUUAUAGGGCCUCGGGGACAGCAAAUCCUGUCCAAAACGGGAUCGGGUCGGAUCUCUUUCCUGACGAAGCCGGUGUCCUGCUUGGUUACUGCAAGGAAGGAGAAGAGGAAGGCGGCGCUGCGCAGUGGGUCCUGCGUGUCAUUGGAAGAAGAACAGGGACCCGGCUGUCAGCGAGUCUAGGGAGAGGGGCGCGCCCACUGCUCGGCUUGGGCCGCAACGAGCUGGGCCGGGGCGGGAAGGGAAGCCAGGGGGCUGGCUGGCCGCUAGCGGGCCGAGUGCGAGGGUGAUGGGGGGGGGGGGUUCGGCUGGGGUUUUCUUUUCUGUUUUCUUUUCCAAACACCUUUUCCAAAAAAAAUCUUGAAUGCAAAUAAAUUCAAGCCAGAGGCAAACAAUACAAAAUAACAUAUUCUUCAGCAUGAAUGCAUAAACAAGUUCCUAAACUUAUAAUGAAUUUUAAUUUUUACAAAAAUAUUUUAUUUACUAGAUUAAAUGCCCACAAAAAUUGCUUAAAUAAUUCUC
Molecule: long non-coding RNA, 5901 nt
Filed under: Sorghum bicolor (sorghum)
Lineage: Eukaryota; Viridiplantae; Streptophyta; Magnoliopsida; Poales; Poaceae
Description: long non-coding RNA (SBIC_LNC002512)
Source: RNAcentral